AUCCAUCUGACGAGUCCCAAAUAGGACGAAAUACGCAUCUUGGAU
Molecule: non-coding RNA, 45 nt
Filed under: Trichobilharzia regenti
Lineage: Eukaryota; Metazoa; Platyhelminthes; Trematoda; Strigeidida; Schistosomatidae
Source: RNAcentral